UCCCUAGUAGCUCAGUUGGUAAAGAAUCUGCCUGCAAUGCAGGAGACCCAGGUUCGAUCUCUGGGUCGAGAA
RNAcentral lists this transfer RNA (72 nucleotides) under Capra hircus (goat). It matches the Rfam family "tRNA". Rfam says of the family: Transfer RNA (tRNA) molecules are approximately 80 nucleotides in length. Their secondary structure includes four short double-helical elements and three loops (D, anti-codon, and T loops). RNAcentral also lists the same sequence under 1 other name. Lineage: Eukaryota; Metazoa; Chordata; Mammalia; Artiodactyla; Bovidae. The record is from Rfam by way of RNAcentral.